This 376-nucleotide ribosomal RNA is filed under the name uncultured bacterium. RNAcentral's name for it is "bacterial SSU rRNA". It matches the Rfam family "Bacterial small subunit ribosomal RNA", at positions 524 to 898 of the family's 1533-position model. The record is from RNAcentral.
UACGUAGGGGGCAAGCGUUAUCCGGAUUUACUGGGUGUAAAGGGAGCGUAGACGGCAUGGCAAGCCAGAUGUGAAAACCCAGGGCUCAACCUUGGGAUUGCAUUUGGAACUGCCAGGCUGGAGUGCAGGAGAGGUAAGCGGAAUUCCUAGUGUAGCGGUGAAAUGCGUAGAUAUUAGGAGGAACACCAGUGGCGAAGGCGGCUUACUGGACUGUAACUGACGUUGAGGCUCGAAAGCGUGGGGAGCAAACAGGAUUAGAUACCCUGGUAGUCCACGCGGUAAACGAUGAUUGCUAGGUGUAGGUGGGUAUGGACCCAUCGGUGCCGCAGCUAACGCAAUAAGCAAUCCACCUGGGGAGUACGUUCGCAAGAAUGAA